RNAcentral lists this ribosomal RNA (837 nucleotides) under Triticum aestivum (bread wheat). Its description in RNAcentral is "partial small subunit ribosomal RNA". The record is from RNAcentral. Lineage: Eukaryota; Viridiplantae; Streptophyta; Magnoliopsida; Poales; Poaceae.
AUGGCAUGGUGGAAGCUCUGUAUUCCAAAAAGUGAAGGAGGUAUGGGCUUUAGAGACCUAUAUUCUUUUAAUCUAGCUAUGUUGGCUAAACAGUGCUGGAGACUCGUCACUGAUCCAGAUUCUUUGGUGGCGAGAGUUUUAAAAGCUAAAUAUUAUCCUAAUGGAAGCAUUCUUACUGUUACUCCAAAAAAUGGGUCAUCCUUUACUUGGCAAAGUAUCCUUAAGGGACUGGAAACUUUUAAGAAAGGGUAUAUUUGGAGAAUUGGGACCGGGGAAGAAGUGAAUAUAUGGAAGAAUCCUUGGAUCCCAGCUAGUUCUGAUUUGAAGGUUAUCACUCCUCGGGGCCAAACAGUUUUGACACGGGUGUGUGAGUUAAUUGAUCCUAUGACGGGCACUUGGGAUGAGGACUUACUACAACAUAUUUUCUAUCCCGUAGAUGUCCGCAGAAUACUACAGAUUCCUAUCAAUCUCCACGCCUUUGAUGAUUUUAUUGCGUGGCAACCAAGCCGGAUUGGUAUUUUCUCUGUUCGCACAGCUUACCAUUUACAAUGGAUGCAUAUUUUUCGAGCACAUGCAACUAGGAUGGAGACCCCUGGUGGAUCCACACCUCUGGCAGUCUGGAGUACACUUUGGAAACUCCCAGUUCCACGUAAAGUUCAAGUGUUUGGUUGGAGGUUGUUACGAGGAAUCAUCCCGCUGCGAGCUAUCCUCACUAAUAGGCAUGUCGGGUCUAAUGGAGCCUGCCCAAUCUGCCAUCAGGGGGCGGAGGACAUCAAGCAUCUUCUAUUCCAGUGCACGCAUGCAAGGGAUUUGUGGGACCGACUAGGCUUGCUGUAG